RNAcentral lists this ribosomal RNA (354 nucleotides) under uncultured bacterium. RNAcentral's name for it is "partial 16S ribosomal RNA". It matches the Rfam family "Bacterial small subunit ribosomal RNA", at positions 338 to 709 of the family's 1533-position model. The record is from RNAcentral.
CCUACGGGAGGCAGCAGUAGGGAAUAUUGCACAAUGGGGGAAACCCUGAUGCAGCAACGCCGCGUGGGUGAUGACGGUUUUCGGAUUGUAAACUCCUGUCGUCAGAGACGAUAAUGACGGUACCUAACGAAUAAGCACCGGCUAACUCCGUGCCAGCAGCCGCGGUAAUACGGAGGGUGCAAGCGUUGCUCGGAUUUACUGGGCGUAAAGGGCGCGUAGGCGGGAUAGCAAGUCAGAUGUGAAAUACUAGGGCUUAACCUGAGUACUGCAUUUGAAACUGGUAUUCUAGAGUGCGGGAGAGGAGAAUGGAAUUCCUAGGGUAGGGGUGAAAUGCGGAGAGAUUAAGAAGAAUAC